This 497-nucleotide ribosomal RNA is filed under the name uncultured bacterium. RNAcentral's name for it is "partial 16S ribosomal RNA". It matches the Rfam family "Bacterial small subunit ribosomal RNA", at positions 28 to 507 of the family's 1533-position model. The record is from RNAcentral.
GAUGAACGCUGGCGGCGUGCCUAAUACAUGCAAGUCGAGCGAACGGACGAGAAGCUUGCUUUUCUGAUGUUAGCGGCGGACGGGUGAGUAACACGUGGAUAACCUACCUAUAAGACUGGGAUAACUUCGGGAAACCGGAGCUAAUACCGGAUAAUAUUUUGAACCGCAUGGUUCAAAAGUGAAAGACGGUCUUGCUGUCACUUAUAGAUGGAUCCGCGCUGCAUUAGCUAGUUGGUAAGGUAACGGCUUACCAAGGCAACGAUGCAUAGCCGACCUGAGAAGGUGAACGGCGACACUGGAAAUGAGACACGGUACAGACUCCGACGGGAGGCAGAAGUAGGGAAUCUUCCGAAAUGGGCGAAAGACUGACGGAGCAAAGCCGCGUGAGUGAUGAAGGUCUUCGGAUCGUAAAACUCUGUUAUUAGGGAAGAACAUAUGUGUAAGUAACUGUGCACAUCUUGACGGUACCUAAUCAGAAAGCCACGGCUAACUACGUG